This is a non-coding RNA of Monodelphis domestica (gray short-tailed opossum), 1289 nucleotides long. The record is from RefSeq and is a predicted model, not a curated record. NCBI's taxonomy places the organism in Eukaryota, Metazoa, Chordata, Mammalia, Didelphimorphia, Didelphidae.
UUUCCCAGAGGGCUGUUCCUUUUGGUGGUAUAUCGUGAUAAUACCUAAAAUAUCUCUUAAAACUGUUCACUUGGAAGGCUGAGAGUAAGGUCAGAUAGGGAUAGGAUUUCUCUUAAAAUGUGUCUUUUUACAUUCCUCUCACCCCUUCUUAGGGGGCGGGGCUGAGGGCCCUCCAAAUAUGAGAACCCCUGAAAAAAAAGAUGGGAGAGACCUACAAGAUAUUACAACUUUCUAAGCUUCUCAAAGUCUAGGCCCCACAAAGAGCAAGUGGCAGGAUUCUAAAUGGAACCUAGAAAGUAAAGAGGAGGGAAAAAGCCUUUAUUAAGCUCCUAUGUGCCCAGCUCCACCUUUUACAAUCUCUCAUACAAAGACAAAACAUCUUUUCCAGUUAUAUCGUGAUAUACUGAAGCAAAGAGGCUGGUUAGAAUAUAACUAGUUAACGUGAUGGCAAAAAAAAAAAACACAAAAAAACCCUGUCAACAAGAUGAUUAUCCAAAGAUUAGGCAAUGACUGAACAAAUUAUAGAAUGCUGAUGUGAUAGAAUGUUGUUGAACUUUAUGAAAUGAUGAAUCUAGAAUUCAAAGAAUCAGGAGAACAAUCUAUCAUGGGGUUUUGAGUCCAGUUGCUUCUAGAUGACUGAAUGAUCUUGAACCAGUCAUUGUUUAUCAAGAGAAGCAGAUUAAUGAAGUAGAAAGAAUAGUGGACUUGGAGUGGACAGUGAUUUCAAAUCUUGACUCUGCUCUGUACUUCACAGUCUGACCUUGGACAAAUAACCUUCAUAAAUCUUAGCAUCUUCACCUGUAAAAUGAAGAGCUUGGUCUAGACAAUGUUUGAGGAUGUCUGCAAGAGUGAGAUAAGCAACCGAGGACCCCUCCCACCAACGCACCUGGGAGCUGACAGUUCCUGACUGCCAGAUCUGUCCGGAUAGGCAAGAUUAUUAUAGAAGCAGCUGCCAAGAGAACUCACAGUUUCCCCACCCCCAACACCAAGAGUGCUUGUUCAGGCAGUUAAUUAUACCUUUAUCUCCUUUUGCUGAAUGAAUCUGUAGGGUCUCUGGGAUCAGGAGUCUCUUGGCUAUCUGCUAUAAUCAAAUUGUACCUUAAAGAUUAAUCUGGCCUACACCCUGGUAAAAUAAGCUUAGUUUAGACUACAUUCAAAUGAAUCCGAACUAAAGUUGGGGAGAGUGUUGAGGAAUGAUGUAUCUUUACAAGGUCCUACUUACUAAUAUUGCUUAUGGGUUUUGAGGGAAUUAUCUUGAGAAUAAAAGAAUUUUCUUAGAGUUAAAUUUA